CUACUGAAGCCUCUUUUCGCCUGGCUUCAGAUGAAGUCAGUUAAGUAUCUCUCUUCUGCAUCUCUCUUUCUUGGAGCAGGAAGAAGAAAUGCACAGCACCCUGCCCCUCUAUCCACAUCUCUUCAAACUCUAACACUUCCCAUCCUCUGAAACAGUCUGGGAGUCGGUCCUGGGCUCACGGCAGCAGAAUGGGGACAUCCUGAGGAGCAGCUUGAGGUUGGAAUGCUUGUAUAACGCUGUGAAAUAGAGUCAAGACAACUGUACCCUGGAGAUCUGAACAUGCAGCUUUAGCCUCACUGGCUUCAUGCUCAUACUGCAGAGAGCGGUCUGGAGUGAGACCUGAGAUUCUGCAUUUCUAACAAGCUCCCAAGUGAUGCAAAUGCUGCUGGUCCUUGAACCACACUUUGCACAACUCUAAUCUUGGAAACUACUACAGUCUAAGGAGUCCAGUCUCCUUCUAGUGGAGAAAAAUAUCAAAGACUCAAAUCUGAGCAUUGUGCUGAACCUUCUCUGUUGGGCUCCUGGACCUCCACAAAGGCUCUGUCAUCUGCAGAUGAUUGUCUUAAAUCAGUGUUCUCCAGGAGCUCCUGGACUUUGGCUGAGAGAAGC
This 609-nucleotide long non-coding RNA is filed under the name Equus caballus (horse). RNAcentral describes it as "lncRNA (ENSECAG00000044116.1)". Lineage: Eukaryota; Metazoa; Chordata; Mammalia; Perissodactyla; Equidae. The record is from RNAcentral.